CGUGCAGGCGGCCUUGCAAGUCGGACGUGAAAUCCCACGGCUCAACCGUGGAAGUGCAUUCGAAACUGCGAGGCUGGAGUCCUGGAGAGGAAAGUGGAAUACUCGGUGUAGAGGUGAAAUUCGUAGAUAUCGAGUGGAACACCGGUGGCGAAGGCGGCUUUCUGGACAGGUACUGACGCUGAGACGCGAAAGCGUGGGGAGCAAACAGGAUUAGAUACCCUGGUAGUCCACGCCGUAAACGAUGAGUGCUAGGUGUCACGGGCUUUGACCCUCGUGGUGCCGAAGCUAACGCGUUAAGCACUCCGCCUGGGGAGUACGGCCGCAAGGCUAAA
RNAcentral lists this ribosomal RNA (332 nucleotides) under uncultured Aetherobacter sp. RNAcentral's name for it is "bacterial SSU rRNA". It matches the Rfam family "Bacterial small subunit ribosomal RNA", at positions 568 to 898 of the family's 1533-position model. The record is from RNAcentral. Lineage: Bacteria; Pseudomonadati; Myxococcota; Polyangiales; Polyangiaceae.